This 497-nucleotide ribosomal RNA is filed under the name uncultured bacterium. RNAcentral's name for it is "partial 16S ribosomal RNA". It matches the Rfam family "Bacterial small subunit ribosomal RNA", at positions 28 to 507 of the family's 1533-position model. The record is from RNAcentral.
GACGAACGCUGGCGGCGUGCCUAAUACAUGCAAGUAGAACGCUGAAGCGAGGAGCUUACUCUUCUUGGAUGAGUUGCGAACGGGUGAGUAACGCGUAGGUAACCUGCCUUGUAGCGGGGGAUAACUAUUGGAAACGAUAGCUAAUACCGCAUAACACUGGAUGACACAUGUCAUUUAUUUGAAAGGGGCAAUUGCUCCACUACAAGAUGGACCUGCGUUGUAUUAGCUAGUAGGUGAGGUAAUGGCUCACCUAGGCGACGCUACAUAGCCGACCUGAGAGGGUGAGCGGCCACAAUGGGAAUGAGACACGGCCCAGACUCCCACGGGAGGCAGCAGUAGGGAAACUUCGGCAAUGGGGGCAACCCUGACCGAGCAACGCCGCGUGAGUGAAGAAGGUUUUCGGAUCGUAAAGCUCUGUUGUAAGUCAAGAACGGGUGUGAGAGUGGAAAGUUCACACUGUGACGGUAGCUUACCAGAAAGGGACGGCUAACUACGUG